UUUCACAUUUCGUUUAGCUUGAAAAAAUUGUUCGUAACAUUUUUCAAAAUAAACUUUCAUUUCAAAAAUGUAUGCGUUUGUUGUCGGUUGGGGUCGAUUAAAUAUUUCCGAGAUAAUUCGUUGGUAAAAAACAAACGAAUUAAACUAGCGCGUGUAAACAUUUUACUUGUAAGAAUGAAGAUACAUACGUUAAUAUGUAUAUGUGUAGACGUAUAUUGAGAGAGAGAGAGAGAGAGAGAGAGAGAGCUAGAGAUGGAAGAAGAAACGAGCACGUUGGAGUUGAACUUCUGUUUAAACUAAUUCUUCAAUUAAGCUUGGUAGUUUCUAUAUGUCGAGUCGGCGAAGACCAAUAAUUGCCAGAUCGUUCAGUUGCUGCGUCGUGGAACCGAGUUUAAUACCAUUGGGUGAAAGAAAGAUAGGAAGAUAACAAGAAAGAUAGAGAGAAAGAAGAUAAAUAUGAGUUUAGACCUGUUUUACGAAGUAGAAAGAUGGAUAGAUACAAAUGAUCGAAUCAUCGUAAUAAAUUUUCUAUCAGGAAAUAUCUGGUUAACUAUUGACGAUAGAAAACUCGUUUCAAUGCAGAUGAAAUCCAUGUUUCAUGUGAUAAAAGGUUAAUCGAAAAA
RNAcentral lists this long non-coding RNA (623 nucleotides) under Polistes fuscatus (common paper wasp). RNAcentral's name for it is "uncharacterized LOC122516703". The record is from RNAcentral. Lineage: Eukaryota; Metazoa; Arthropoda; Insecta; Hymenoptera; Vespidae.